This 505-nucleotide ribosomal RNA is filed under the name uncultured bacterium. Its description in RNAcentral is "partial 16S ribosomal RNA". It matches the Rfam family "Bacterial small subunit ribosomal RNA", at positions 28 to 523 of the family's 1533-position model. The record is from RNAcentral.
GAUGGACGCUAGCGGCAGGCCUACACAUGCAAGUCGAGGGGCAGCACAUAAAGUGGUUUACUACUUUUGGUGGCGACCGGCGGACGGGUGCGUAACGCGUAUGCAACCUGCCUCCAACAGGGGGAUAACGGAGAGAAAUUUCCACUACUACCCCAUAAUAUCAGAAUCGGCAUCGGUUUUGGUUGCAAACUCCGGUGGUUGGAGAAGGGCAUGCGGUGUAUUAGAUAGUUGGAGAGGUAACGGCUCACCAAGUCAACGAUACAUAGGGGGACUGAGAGGUUAGCCCCCCACACUGGUACUGGGACACGGACCAGACUCCUACGGGAGGCAGCAGUGAGGAAUAUUGGUCAAUGGGGGCAACCCUGAACCAGCCAUGCCGCGUGCAGAAAGACGGCCCUAUGAGUUGUAAACUGCUUUUACAAGGGGAUAAAUCGGUGUACGUGUACACCGUUGAAGGUACCUUGGGAAUAAGGGUCGGCUAACUCCGUGCCAGCCGCCGCCGUAA